Long non-coding RNA from Humulus lupulus (European hop), 296 nucleotides. RefSeq lists it as uncharacterized. NCBI's taxonomy places the organism in Eukaryota, Viridiplantae, Streptophyta, Magnoliopsida, Rosales, Cannabaceae. The transcript has 4 exons. The record is from RefSeq and is a predicted model, not a curated record.
GUUUUCUCCGCCCCCGAUUUCUGUUUUCCUGGAUUUCGGCCCCCACAAACUUUGUUUUUGGUCAAAGUUUCCCUUCCAAAGGCGAUUUAAGUGGCUAUAAGGCUUAUUGAGGUUUUGCAUUGUAUACCAGCGGUUUUAGAGGUUGGGUAUUCGGUUUUUGUUGGACUAAAGAGAUUGCUAGCAAGAUAUUGAAGGCAUUGAUAUGGCUGAUGUUAUUGCUCAAUCUCACGGGGGUGAUGGUGGAGGAUGCGAUCCUCCACGUGGACCGGCAGAUAUCCCAGCUGAUUGUGAACGAG